This 626-nucleotide ribosomal RNA is filed under the name Ciliophora sp. RNAcentral describes it as "SSU rRNA". It matches the Rfam family "Eukaryotic small subunit ribosomal RNA", at positions 341 to 980 of the family's 1831-position model. The record is from RNAcentral. Lineage: Eukaryota; Ciliophora.
CUACCAUGGCGUUUACGGGUAACGGAGGAUUAGGGUUCGAUUCCGGAGAGGGAGCCUGAGAAACGGCUACCACAUCUAAGGAAGGCAGCAGGCGCGUAAAUUACCCAAUCCUGACUCAGGGAGGUAGUGACAAGAAAUAACGGACCGAGGUCUUACGGCUUCGGGAUUGCAAUGAGCCGAAUUUACACCCCUUAGCGAGAAUCGAUUGGAGGGCAAGUCUGGUGCCAGCAGCCGCGGUAAUUCCAGCUCCAAUAGCGUAUAUUAAAGUUGUUGCAGUUAAAAAGCUCGUAGUUGGAUUUCUGGGAGGGUGCCAUUGUCCGCCAACGCGCGUGUGCAGCGGCGCCCUUCCAUCCUUCUGUUAACGCCUCUUGGCAUUCACUUGCUGGUGGCGGGCUCAGAUAUUUUACCUUGAGAAAAUUAGAGUGUUUCAGGCAGGCUAGGCCGGAAUACAUUAGCAUGGAAUAAUGGAAUAGGACUAUGGUCUCUUUGUUGGUUUGAGGGACUGCAGUAAUGAUUAAUAGGGAUAGUUGGGGGCAUUAGUAUUUAAUUGUCAGAGGUGGAAUUCUCAGAUUUGUUAAAGACUAACUUAUGCGAAAGCAUUUGCCAAGGAUGUUUUCAUUAAUCAA